RNAcentral lists this ribosomal RNA (253 nucleotides) under uncultured bacterium. RNAcentral describes it as "partial 16S ribosomal RNA". It matches the Rfam family "Bacterial small subunit ribosomal RNA", at positions 524 to 776 of the family's 1533-position model. The record is from RNAcentral.
UACGUAGGUGGCAAGCGUUAUCCGGAAUUAUUGGGCGUAAGGCGCGCGCAGGCGGUCCUUUAAGUCUGAUGUGAAAGCCCACGGCUCAACCGUGGAGGGUCAUUGGAAACUGGGGGACUUGAGUGCAGAAGAGGAGAGCGGAAUUCCACGUGUAGCGGUGAAAUGCGUAGAGAUGUGGAGGAACACCAGUGGCGAAGGCGGCUCUCUGGUCUGUAACUGACGCUGAGGCGCGAAAGCGUGGGGAGCGAACAGG